This 422-nucleotide ribosomal RNA is filed under the name uncultured Eubacterium sp. RNAcentral describes it as "bacterial SSU rRNA". It matches the Rfam family "Bacterial small subunit ribosomal RNA", at positions 355 to 794 of the family's 1533-position model. The record is from RNAcentral. Lineage: Bacteria; Bacillati; Bacillota; Clostridia; Eubacteriales; Eubacteriaceae.
UGAGGAAUAUUGGGCAAUGGGCGGAAGCCUGACCCAGCAACGCCGCGUGAAGGAAGACGGUUUUCGGAUUGUAAACUUCUUUUAAGAGGGACGAUAAUGACGGUACCUCUUGAAUAAGCCACGGCUAACUACGUGCCAGCAGCCGCGGUAAUACGUAGGUGGCAAGCGUUGUCCGGAAUUACUGGGUGUAAGGGGAGCGCAGGCGGGAAAUCAAGUUGGAUGUGAAAUGUCGGGGCUUAACCCCGGAACUGCAUCCAAAACUGAUAUUUUUGAGUGAAGUAGAGGUAGGCGGAAUUCCGAGUGUAGCGGUGAAAUGCGUAGAUAUUCGGAGGAACACCAGUGGCGAAGGCGGCCUACUGGGCUUUAACUGACGCUGAGGCUCGAAAGUGUGGGGAGCAAACAGGAUUAGAUACCCUGGUAGU